CCAUUGAUGAACAUAAGCAGAAAGACAGUGGAAAGAGUAUCACGCUUGAGAUUCUCACGGAGGACAUCCCAAGCUGGAAUACUUCAUUCACUGUUAAUGCAGCACGACUGGACACAGUGAACGAUAUCAUCAAAAAGUUACGACCAUUGCUGGGAAUACCUAAUGCUGAGGAAGAUUAUCAACUGUGGUUCUCUUCUAUGGAGGAAGAAUCACCAGGCCCACUCCUGGGACAUGAGAAUCCAUAUGCCAUCAGAAUGAGUGAUCUUCGAAAUUCUACCUAUGUGGCAGUGGGGCCAAGGGAUUACACUGAUUAUCUUGACAUCAACAAGGCAAUCAAGGAGCUGCAGUCCCCACAUAAUCCAGGAGUAUUUAUCCUGAAGCCCAAGGACCCACCCAAGGACC
Long non-coding RNA from Phodopus roborovskii (desert hamster), 402 nucleotides. RefSeq lists it as uncharacterized. NCBI's taxonomy places the organism in Eukaryota, Metazoa, Chordata, Mammalia, Rodentia, Cricetidae. The record is from RefSeq and is a predicted model, not a curated record. The transcript is spliced from 4 exons.